RNAcentral lists this long non-coding RNA (586 nucleotides) under Rattus norvegicus (Norway rat). RNAcentral describes it as "long non-coding RNA NONRATT012315". The record is from RNAcentral. Lineage: Eukaryota; Metazoa; Chordata; Mammalia; Rodentia; Muridae.
AGCACCCACAGCGCCAAGCUUCUGUGUCUUGGCUGGCUCCAUACAGCGUUUGCCACAGCCUGAGUGUCCCUUCUAGAGGCUGGGAAUCGCAAGGCUUGAACUGCACAGGCCUGAGACAGAGAGCAAGACCUCCUAACAUGUAGCAGAAAGCUAAGCCUGCCUGGCAGACAGGGAGCUGAGCUGUUUAGGAGGCUCCCCCCACCCCACCCCCAGCAGAUGACAGAGCAGUCCGUGAAGGCUAACCCGAUGGCAGCCACCCUGCAUUCUUCCCAGGACUUCAUGCACUCCUGCUCCUCCCCCAGGGUCAGCACAGCUAACCUCGCUCCGGUUCUGCUGAUGUGGCCACCCAGGAACAGGUUGAUCUACUGGGAUAGGAGAGCUGAGACUCCACAUGAGGAUAUUUUGCCUUAAACCUUGAGUGAUGAUGAAGUUGCUCUUUGCUUAUCUCAGAACCCAAGGCUAUUUUCCAAAGCACAGUGCUUCCCACCUGUUCACUCUGUCAGCGCUCCGCUUCUGAGGUAGAAAAGCCAAACAGGUCAAUUAUGCAAAUCUCCUGGUGCCGUAUUAAACUGUUUUCCAGUGCUGA